RNAcentral lists this ribosomal RNA (253 nucleotides) under uncultured bacterium. Its description in RNAcentral is "partial 16S ribosomal RNA". It matches the Rfam family "Bacterial small subunit ribosomal RNA", at positions 524 to 776 of the family's 1533-position model. RNAcentral also lists the same sequence under 1 other name. The record is from RNAcentral.
GACAGAGGGUGCAAACGUUGUUCGGAAUUACUGGGCGUAAAGCGCAUGUAGGCGGCCAAGCAGGUCGGAUGUGAAAUCCCUCGGCUCAACCAAGGAAGUGCAUUCGAAACCGCAUGGCUGGAGUCCCGGAGAGGAAGGUGGAAUUCUCGGUGUAGAGGUGAAAUUCGUAGAUAUCGAGAGGAACACCGGUGGCGAAAGCGGCCUUCUGGACGAGGACUGACGCUGAGAUGCGAAAGCGUGGGGAGCAAACAGG